RNAcentral lists this ribosomal RNA (111 nucleotides) under uncultured bacterium. Its description in RNAcentral is "partial 16S ribosomal RNA". It matches the Rfam family "Bacterial small subunit ribosomal RNA", at positions 1378 to 1482 of the family's 1533-position model. The record is from RNAcentral.
CCCUUGUACACACCGCCCGUCACGCCAUGGAAGUUGGGGGGGACCUGAAGCCGGUGGGCUAACCCGCAAGGGAGGCAGCCGUCAAAAGGUCAAUCCCAAAUGACUGGGGCG